RNAcentral lists this ribosomal RNA (406 nucleotides) under uncultured bacterium. RNAcentral describes it as "partial 16S ribosomal RNA". It matches the Rfam family "Bacterial small subunit ribosomal RNA", at positions 30 to 526 of the family's 1533-position model. The record is from RNAcentral.
AUUGAACGCUGGCGGCAGGCCUAACACAUGCAAGUCGAACGAGUGGCGGACGGGUGAGUAAUGUCUGGGAAACUGCCUGAUGGAGGGGGAUAACUACUGGAACCGGUAGCUAAUACCGCAUACCUUCAGUUGUCCCCAGAUGGGUUUAGCUGGUUGGUGGGGUAACGCGUCACCAAGGCGACGAUCCCUAGCGGGCCUGAGAGGAUGACCAGCCACACUGGAACUGAGACACGGUCCAGACUCCUACGGGAGGCAGCAGUGGGGAAUAGUGCACAAUGGGCGCAAGCCUGAUGCAGCCAUGCCGCGUGUAUGAAGAAGGCCUUCGGGUUGUAAAGUACUUUCAGCGGGGAGGCGUUACCCGCAGAAGAAGCACCGGCUAACUCCGUGCCAGCAGCCGCGGUAAUAC